GUGCGGAAAGGCCCCUUCGGGGGCACUCGAGCGGCGAAAGGGAGAGUAACGCGUGGACUACCUACCCCUGGGUUCGGGAUAGCUGCGGGAAACUGCAGGUAAUACCGGAUAACGUCUCCGGACCAAAGGUGUGAUUCCGCCUGGGGACGGGUCCGCGUCCUAUUAGCUUGUUGGUGGGGUAACGGCUUACCAAGGCUACGAUGGGUACCGGGUGUGAGAGCAUGGCCCGGCUCACUGGGACUGAGACACUGCCCAGACACCUACGGGUGGCUGCAGUCGAGAAUCUUCGGCAAUGGGCGCAAGCCUGACCGAGCGACGCCGCGUGCGGGAUGAAGGCUUUCGGGUUGUAAACCGCUGUCAGUUGGGAGGAAAUCCAGUGGGGUUCUCUCCACUGGUUGACCUAGCUUCAGAGGAAGGACGGGCUAAGUUCGUGCCAGCAGCCGCGGUAACACGAACCGUCCUAACGUUAUCCGGAAUCACUGGGUUUAAAGGGUGCGUAGGCGGCGUUAUAAGUCAGAGGUGAAAGCUUGCAGCUUAACUGUAAAAUUGCCUCUGAUACUGUAGUGCUUGAAUCACGUUGAGGUCGGCGGAAUGUGACAUGUAGCGGUGAAAUGCAUAGAUAUGUCAUAGAACACCAAUUGCGAAGGCAGCUGACUGGGCGUGUAUUGACGCUGAGGCACGAA
Molecule: ribosomal RNA, 683 nt
Filed under: uncultured Planctomycetota bacterium
Lineage: Bacteria; Pseudomonadati; Planctomycetota
Description: bacterial SSU rRNA
Rfam family: Bacterial small subunit ribosomal RNA
Source: RNAcentral